Molecule: unclassified non-coding RNA, 274 nt
Filed under: Hevea brasiliensis (rubber tree)
Lineage: Eukaryota; Viridiplantae; Streptophyta; Magnoliopsida; Malpighiales; Euphorbiaceae
Source: RNAcentral
GUAUGGGUUAUUCCAAUUUUUACUUAUUUUAUAAAUUUAAUAGCCAAUUGCCUGUGGCAGGCUGCUUUAGUUUAUGAACGUGUGAAAUAAUAGAUUCAUAGUUUAACAAUUGGCUUAUCACAUGAAAAUAUUUAAUCUGCUAACAAGGAAGAAAUGAUUUAAAUUCUGUUAAUUUGAAAUAGGACCUUGAUAUGAAUUAUUGUUUUAUGAUUUUCUUUCGCACAUGUCUGUGCACAAAAAAGAGAGAGAACUUUUUUUCCAUUGAUUUAUGCAG